UGGGGAAUAUUGGACAAUGGGCGAAAGCCUGAUCCAGCCAUGCCGCGUGUGUGAAGAAGGCCUUAUGGUUGUAAAGCACUUUAAGCGAGGAGGAGGCUACUUUAGUUAAUACCUAGAGAUAGUGGACGUUACUCGCAGAAUAAGCACCGGCUAACUCUGUGCCAGCAGCCGCGGUAAUACAGAGGGUGCAAGCGUUAAUCGGAUUUACUGGGCGUAAAGCGCGCGUAGGCGGCUAAUUAAGUCAAAUGUGAAAUCCCCGAGCUUAACUUGGAAAUUGCAUGCGAUACUGGUUAGCUAGAGUGUGGGAGAGGAUGGUAGAAUUCCAGGUGUAGCGGUGAAAUGCGUAGAGAUCUGGAGGAAUACCGAUGGCGAAGGCAGCCAUCUGGACUAACACUGACGCUGAGGUGCGAAAGCAUGGGGAGCAAACAGG
RNAcentral lists this ribosomal RNA (430 nucleotides) under Pseudomonadota bacterium. Its description in RNAcentral is "Proteobacteria bacterium partial 16S ribosomal RNA". It matches the Rfam family "Bacterial small subunit ribosomal RNA", at positions 355 to 776 of the family's 1533-position model. Lineage: Bacteria; Pseudomonadati; Pseudomonadota. The record is from RNAcentral.